AGUGCUUGCACUAAAUGAAACUAGAUACAAGCGAGCGGCGGACGGGUGAGUAACACGUGGGUAACCUGCCCAAGAGACUGGGAUAACACCUGGAAACAGAUGCUAAUACCGGAUAACAACACUAGACGCAUGUCUAGAGUUUGAAAGAUGGUUCUGCUAUCACUCUUGGAUGGACCUGCGGUGCAUUAGCUAGUUGGUAAGGUAACGGCUUACCAAGGCAAUGAUGCAUAGCCGAGUUGAGAGACUGAUCGGCCACAUUGGGACUGAGACACGGCCCAAACUCCUACGGGAGGCAGCAGUAGGGAAUCUUCCACAAUGGACGAAAGUCUGAUGGAGCAACGCCGCGUGAGUGAAGAAGGGUUUCGGCUCGUAAAGCUCUGUUGGUAGUGAAGAAAGAUAGAGGUAGUAACUGGCCUUUAUUUGACGGUAAUUACUUAGAAAGUCACGGCUAACUACGUGCCAGCAGCCGCGGUAAUACGUAGGUGGCAAGCGUUGUCCGGAUUUAUUGGGCGUAAAGCGAGUGCAGGCGGUUCAAUAAGUCUGAUGUGAAAGCCUUCGGCUCAACCGGAGAAUUGCAUCAGAAACUGUUGAACUUGAGUGCAGAAGAGGAGAGUGGAACUCCAUGUGUAGCGGUGGAAUGCGUAGAUAUAUGGAAGAACACCAGUGGCGAAGGCGGCUCUCUGGUCUGCAACUGACGCUGAGGCUCGAAAGCAUGGGUAGCGAACAGGAUUAGAUACCCUGGUAGUCCAUGCCGUAAACGAUGAGUGCUAAGUGUUGGGAGGUUUCCGCCCUCUCAGUGCUGCAGCUAACGCAUUAAGCACUCCGCCUGGGGAGUACGACCGC
RNAcentral lists this ribosomal RNA (843 nucleotides) under uncultured bacterium. RNAcentral describes it as "bacterial SSU rRNA". It matches the Rfam family "Bacterial small subunit ribosomal RNA", at positions 75 to 889 of the family's 1533-position model. The record is from RNAcentral.